GACGAACGCUGGCGGCGUGCUUAACACAUGCAAGUCGAACGGAAAGGCCCUGCUUUUGCGGGGUGCUCGAGUGGCGAACGGGUGAGUAACACGUGAGUAACCUGCCCUUGACUUUGGGAUAACUUCAGGAAACUGGGGCUAAUACCGGAUAGGAGCUCCUGCUGCAUGGUGGGGGUUGGAAAGUUUCGGCGGUUGGGGAUGGACUGGCGGCUUAUCAGCUUGUUGGUCGGGUAGUGGCUUACCAAGGCUUCGACGGGUAGCCGGCCUGAGAGGUUGACCGGCCACAUUAGGCCUGAGAGACGGCCCAGACUCCUAUGGGAGGCAGCAGUGGGGAAUAUUGCAGAGUGGGCGGAAGCCUGAUGCAGCGGCGCCGCGUGCGGGAUGACGGCCUUCGGGUUGUAAACCGCUUUCGCCUGUGACGAAGCGUGAGUGACGGUAAUGGGUAAAGAAGCACCGGCUAACUACGUG
Molecule: ribosomal RNA, 468 nt
Filed under: uncultured bacterium
Lineage: Bacteria
Description: partial 16S ribosomal RNA
Rfam family: Bacterial small subunit ribosomal RNA
Source: RNAcentral